Molecule: ribosomal RNA, 253 nt
Filed under: uncultured bacterium
Lineage: Bacteria
Description: partial 16S ribosomal RNA
Rfam family: Bacterial small subunit ribosomal RNA
Source: RNAcentral
UACAGAGGUCCCGAGCGUUGUUCGGAUUCACUGGGCGUAAAGGGUGCGUAGGUGGCUGGAAAAGUUUGAUGUGAAAGCUCAGGGCUUAACCCUGAAAUGGCAUUGAAUACUGUCGAGCUGGAGGUUUGGAGGGGGGACUGGAAUUCUUGGUGUAGCAGUGAAAUGCGUAGAUAUCAAGAGGAACACCAGUGGCGAAGGCGAGUCCCUGGACAACACCUGACACUGAGGCACGAAAGCUAGGGGAGCAAACGGG